This 253-nucleotide ribosomal RNA is filed under the name uncultured bacterium. RNAcentral's name for it is "partial 16S ribosomal RNA". It matches the Rfam family "Bacterial small subunit ribosomal RNA", at positions 524 to 776 of the family's 1533-position model. The record is from RNAcentral.
UACGUAGGGUGCAAGCGUUGUCCGGAAUUAUUGGGCGUAAAGAGCUCGUAGGCGGUUUGUCGCGUCUGCUGUGAAAUCUGGGGGCUCAACCCCCAGCCUGCAGUGGGUACGGGCAGACUAGAGUGCGGUAGGGGAGAUUGGAAUUCCUGGUGUAGCGGUGGAAUGCGCAGAUAUCAGGAGGAACACCGAUGGCGAAGGCAGGUCUCUGGGCCAUUACUGACACUGAGAAGCGAAAGCAUGGGGAGCAAACAGG